GAUGAACGCUGGCGGCGUGCCUAAUACAUGCAAGUCGAGCGACCAGACGGUGAGCUUGCUCCUCUGACGUUAGCGGCGGACGGGUGAGUAACACGUGGAUAACCUACCUAUAUUACUGGGAUAACUUCGGGAAACCGGAGCUAAUACCGGCUCAUAUAUUGAACCGCAUGGUUCAAUAGUUCAACACGGUUUUGCUGUCACUUAUAGAUGGUUCCGCGCCGCAUUAGCUAGUUGGUAAGGUAACGGCUUACCAAGGCGACGAUGCGUAGCCGACCUGAGAGGGUGAUCGGCCACACUGGAACUGAGACACGGUCCAGACUCCUACGGGAGGCAGCAGUAGGGAAUCUUCCGCAAUGGGCGAAAGCCUGACGGAGCAACGCCGCGUGAGUGAUGAAGGUCUUCGGAUCGUAAAGCUCUGUUAUUAGGGAAGAACAAAUGUGUAAGUAACUAUGCACGUCUUGACGGUACCUAAUCAGAAAGCAACGGCUAACUACGUG
RNAcentral lists this ribosomal RNA (497 nucleotides) under uncultured bacterium. RNAcentral's name for it is "partial 16S ribosomal RNA". It matches the Rfam family "Bacterial small subunit ribosomal RNA", at positions 28 to 507 of the family's 1533-position model. The record is from RNAcentral.